RNAcentral lists this long non-coding RNA (371 nucleotides) under Homo sapiens (human). Its description in RNAcentral is "non-protein coding lnc-FREM3-4:1". Lineage: Eukaryota; Metazoa; Chordata; Mammalia; Primates; Hominidae. The record is from RNAcentral.
AUGCCUUCAGCCAAAUGGUACUGCUCUGACUGCAAACAACCCUGGGUUUUUUUGUUUGUUUGUGGCUUGGUCCAAAAUUUGCCCCAAACAAGUGUUAUUUCACACAUCAUAUUUCCAGAGCUAAUUACUGCCUGGAAUAUUGCACUGCCCACUCUCUUGUUAGAAGCCUUAUUCUCUUUUAUUAUUUUCCUCUUGAGUUAGUGCCCCAAUACCUUACUAGGUGAUUUUUUUGUGAGUUAGGCAACUCACUGUUCUGGUAACCACCUCUCAUUGGGAAAAGAAUCUAUUGGUUUGAAUCAAUAGGGUUUAAUUUCACAUUACAGACAAUUUUUAUUAGAAGAGUUAAAACUGUAAACAAAAAAUACACUCAA